GGUUAAGUGAAUAAGGGCGUACGGUGAAUGCCUUGGCACUAGGAGCCGAUGAAGGACGGGACGAACACCGAUAUGCUUCGGGGAGCUGUAAGUAAGCUUUGAUCCGGAGAUUUCCGAAUGGGGGAACCUCAUUGUUUUUAUCGACAAUGGUCCACUCAGUGAACACAUAGCUGAGUGGAAGGUAGACGUGGUGAACUGAAACAUCUCAGUAGCCACAGGAAGAGAAAGAAAAAUCGAUUUCCCGAGUAGCGGCGAGCGAAACGGAAAGAGGCCAAACCAGCGUGCUUGCAUGCUGGGGUUGUAGGACUGAUGGACGGGAGUGAAUGAGCUAGUCGAACGCCAUGGAAAGGGCGAUCAGAGAGGGUGACAAUCCCGUAGGCGAAAGCUCAGCCACCUCAUUCAGUAUCCUGAGUACGGCGGUACACGUGAAAUUCCGUCGGAAUCCGCCAGGACCAUCUGGCAAGCCUAAAUACUCCCUAGUGACCGAUAGUGAACCAGUACCGUGAGGGAAAGGUGAAAAGCACCCCGGAAGGGGAGUGAAAGAGUACCUGAAACCGUAUGCCUACAAGCAGUCAGAGCCCGUUAAGGGGUGAUGGCGUACUUUUUGUAGAACGGACCGGCGAGUGACGAUAGCAAGCAAGGUUAAGCUGAAGAAGCGGAGCCACAGCGAAAGCGAGUCUGAAGAGGGCGUUGAGUUUGUUGUCGUCGACCCGAAACCAAGUGAUCUACUCAUGUCCAGGCUGAAGGUGUGGUAAAACACACUGGAGGGCCGAACCCACGUCUGUUGAAAAAGGCGGGGAUGAGGUGUGGGUAGCGGUGAAAUUCCAAUCGAACUUGGAGAUAGCUGGUUCUCUCCGAAAUAGCUUUAGGGCUAGCCUCGGAUGAUGACUAUUGGAGGUAGAGCACUGUUUGAUCGAGGGGUCCAUCCUGGAUUACCGACAUCUGAUAAACUCCGAAUGCCAAAUAGUUUAGUCCGGGAGUCAGACUGCGAGUGAUAAGAUCCGUAGUCGAAAGGGAAAGAGCCCAGACCACCAGCUAAGGUCCCAAAGUUUCAGUUAAGUGGAAAAGGAUGUGGGGUUGCUUAGACAACUAGGAUGUUGGCUUAGAAGCAGCCAUCAUUGAAAGAGUGCGUAAUAGCUCACUAGUCGAGUGACCCUGCGCCGAAAAUGUACCGGGGCUAAACUGAACACCGAAGCUGUGGAUCCAUAGGAUGGUAGGAGAGCGUUCUAUAGGCAGAGAAGCAUGAUCGUGAGGACAUGUGGAGCGUAUAGAAGUGAGAAUGCCGGUAUGAGUAGCGAAAGACGGGUGAGAAUCCCGUCCACCGAAUGACUAAGGUUUCCUGGGGAAGGCUCGUCCUCCCAGGGUUAGUCGGGACCUAAGCCGAGACCGAAAGGGAUAGGCGAUGGACAACAGGUUGAGAUUCCUGUACUUGUUUGAUUUGUUUGAGCGAUGGAAGGACACAGAAGGCUAAGCGGAGCGCGGAGAUGGAAAAACGCGUCCAAGCAAUAAGUGAGAAGGUGAGUGAAAGGCUUGCCUCAGACUUCAUGAGUUGUGACGGGGAGGGAAAUUUAGUACCGAAGCCGCCGACGUCACGCUGUCAAGAAAAGUUUCUAGUGAGAAUCAAACAACCCGUACCGCAAACCGACACAGGUAGUCGAGUGGAGAACACUAAGGUGAGCGAGCGAACUCUCGUUAAGGAACUCGGCAAAAUGACCCCGUAACUUCGGGAGAAGGGGUGCUGACCGCAAGGUCAGCCGCAGUGAAUAGGCCCAAGCGACUGUUUAUCAAAAACAUAGGUCUCUGCCAAAUCGAAAGAUGAUGUAUAGAGGCUGACGCCUGCCCGGUGCUGGAAGGUUAAGAGGAAGGGUUAGCGUAAGCGAAGCUCUGAAUUGAAGCCCCAGUAAACGGCGGCCGUAACUAUAACGGUCCUAAGGUAGCGAAAUUCCUUGUCAGGUAAGUUCUGACCCGCACGAAAGGCGUAACGAUUUGGGCACUGUCUCAACGAGAGGCUCGGUGAAAUUGUAGUACCAGUGAAGAUGCUGGUUACCCGCGACAGGACGGAAAGACCCCAUGGAGCUUUACUGUAGGUUGAUAUUGAAUGUUUGUGCCACAUGUACAGGAUAGGUAGGAGCCAUCGAAGUCGGGACGCUAGUCUCGAUGGAGGCACUGGUGGGAUACUACCCUUGUGGGAUGACCAUUCUAACCCGCGACCAUUAGCUGGUCGGGAGACAGUGUCAGUCAGGCAGUUUGACUGGGGCGGUCGCCUCCUAAAGUGUAACGGAGGCGCCCAAAGGUUCCCUCAGAAUGGUUGGAAAUCAUUCGCAGAGUGUAAAGGCAGAAGGGAGCUUGACUGCGAGACCUACAAGUCGAGCAGGGACGAAAGUCGGGCUUAGUGAUCCGGUGGUUCCGCAUGGAAGGGCCAUCGCUCAACGGAUAAAAGCUACCCUGGGGAUAACAGGCUUAUCUCCCCCAAGAGUUCACAUCGACGGGGAGGUUUGGCACCUCGAUGUCGGCUCAUCGCAUCCUGGGGCUGAAGUCGGUCCCAAGGGUUGGGCUGUUCGCCCAUUAAAGCGGUACGCGAGCUGGGUUCAGAACGUCGUGAGACAGUUCGGUCCCUAUCCGUCGCGGGCGUUGGAAAUUUGAGAGGAGCUGUCCUUAGUACGAGAGGACCGGGAUGGACACACCGCUGGUGUACCAGUUGUUCCACCAGGAGCAUGGCUGGGUAGCUAUGUGUGGACGGGAUAAGCGCUGAAAGCAUCUAAGCGUGAAGCCCCCCUCAAGAUGAGAUUUCCCAUACUUUAAAAGUAGUAAGACCCCUGAAAGACGAUCAGGUUGAUAGGUUUGGAGUGGAAGCUUAGCAAUAAGUGGAGCGGACAAAUACUAAUCGGUCGAGGACUUAUCCAA
RNAcentral lists this ribosomal RNA (2904 nucleotides) under Aerococcus mictus. RNAcentral describes it as "23S ribosomal RNA". It matches the Rfam family "Bacterial large subunit ribosomal RNA". The record is from RNAcentral. Lineage: Bacteria; Bacillati; Bacillota; Bacilli; Lactobacillales; Aerococcaceae.